AUGAUCCCAGCUUGCUGGGGGAUUAGUGGCGAACGGGUGAGUAACACGUGAGUAACCUGCCCUUGACUCUGGGAUAAGCCUGGGAAACUGGGUCUAAUACCGGAUAUGACUCCUCAUCGCAUGGUGGGGGGUGGAAAGCUUUUUGUGGUUUUGGAUGGACUCGCGGCCUAUCAGCUUGUUGGUGGGGUAAUGGCUUACCAAGGCGAUGACGGGUAGCCGGCCUGAGAGGGUGACCGGCCACACUGGGACUGAGACACGGCCCAGACUCCUACGGGAGGCAGCAGUGGGGAAUAUUGCACAAUGGGCGCAAGCCUGAUGCAGCGACGCCGCGUGAGGGAUGACGGCCUUCGGGUUGUAAACCUCUUUCAGUAGGGAAGAAGCCGCAAGGUGACGGUACCUGCAGAAGAAGCGCCGGCUAACUACGUGCCAGCAGCCGCGGUAAUACGUAGGGCGCAAGCGUUAUCCGGAAUUAUUGGGCGUAAAGAGCUCGUAGGCGGUUUGUCGCGUCUGCUGUGAAAGACCGGGGCUCAACUCCGGUUCUGCAGUGGGUACGGGCAGACUAGAGUGCAGUAGGGGAGACUGGAAUUCCUGGUGUAGCGGUGAAAUGCGCAGAUAUCAGGAGGAACACCGAUGGCGAAGGCAGGUCUCUGGGCUGUAACUGACGCUGAGGAGCGAAAGCAUGGGGAGCGAACAGGAUUAG
RNAcentral lists this ribosomal RNA (700 nucleotides) under Arthrobacter sp. T-8(2010). RNAcentral describes it as "bacterial SSU rRNA". It matches the Rfam family "Bacterial small subunit ribosomal RNA", at positions 69 to 781 of the family's 1533-position model. Lineage: Bacteria; Bacillati; Actinomycetota; Actinomycetes; Micrococcales; Micrococcaceae. The record is from RNAcentral.